ACGGCCUCCGUAUCUGGAAAAUUUUAAUAAGUAAAAUCAGCAAAGUGCGCUGGGUUCCUGCAGACCCUUGUUUUGUAAAGAAAUUUGGACUUGGGCAGGCGGCCAAGCGUGAUCUGAAACAGCCCACGUCCUCCACCCCGAGAACGGGAGGUUUAUAAAUUCUGAUUGCAUGGCGCGGAGUGCAGGCCCCGAGUGAUGAAAAGCAGCGACGGUGCACGCGCGGUAGCCAGCCUGCAGGGGGAUUAUCUUACACAUUUCAAAACUGCAUUUUUUUUUUUUCUUUUUUAAAAUACCAGAGGGCAAUGGUUUACAUGCAGGGCAGACUGCCCAGAACAGGGGAUUUAUGUUUCAUAUAUCGAGGUGAUUCUGCUAGUUUUCUGAGGUGGGGGAACCCAAAAUGACAUUUUAAAUAUAAAUACAAAGAGGCAAUUUGCAAUAGCUUGGGAAAAAACAGAGGAAGCCAGGGAGAGAAAUGCUUCGUGUCUCCCCUGAGACGAGAGCCAUUGGUGGGUGCCAGCUGAAGCUUCCCAGGCUCAGGCCCCUCUUCCCGGAGCCCCAGCCAGGCACGGAGCAGAGUACAGAGGACCUGGCAGAAUGUGCCAGAGCCCCACAAUACAGUCCAGAGGGGAAGGGGCUCAGC
This is a non-coding RNA of Ceratotherium simum simum (southern white rhinoceros), 640 nucleotides long. Lineage: Eukaryota; Metazoa; Chordata; Mammalia; Perissodactyla; Rhinocerotidae. The record is from RefSeq and is a predicted model, not a curated record.